This 116-nucleotide ribosomal RNA is filed under the name Echinococcus multilocularis. Its description in RNAcentral is "partial 16S ribosomal RNA". Lineage: Eukaryota; Metazoa; Platyhelminthes; Cestoda; Cyclophyllidea; Taeniidae. The record is from RNAcentral.
UUGGUCUGUUCGACCUUUUUAGCCUCCAUGAGUUGAGUUAAGACCGGCGUAAGCCAGGUCGGUUCUUAUCUAUUGUAGAAGUUUAUCAGUACGAAAGGACAGUAGACUUUUUUGUU